RNAcentral lists this ribosomal RNA (476 nucleotides) under uncultured bacterium. Its description in RNAcentral is "bacterial SSU rRNA". It matches the Rfam family "Bacterial small subunit ribosomal RNA", at positions 28 to 521 of the family's 1533-position model. The record is from RNAcentral.
GAUGAACGCUGGCGGCGUGCCUAACACAUGCAAGUCGAACGGAAGCAAAGAUUUCGGUUUUUGCUUUAGUGGCGAACGGGUGAGUAACGCGUGAGGAGCCUGCCUUUCAGUGGGGGACAACAGUUGGAAACGACUGCUAAUACCGCAUAAUACUUUUGAGUGGCAUCACUUAAAAGUCAAAGAUUUAUUGCUGAAAGAUGGCCUCGCGUCUGAUUAGCUAGUUGGUGGGGUAACGGCCCACCAAAGCGACGAUCAGUAGCCGACCUGAGAGGGUGACCGGCCACAUUGGGACUGAGACACGGCCCAAACUCCUACGGGAGGCAGCAGUGGGGAAUAUUGCACAAUGGGCGCAAGCCUGAUGCAGCGACGCCGCGUGAAGGAUGAAGUAUUUCGGUAUGUAAACUUCUAUCAGCAGGGAAGAAAAUGACGGUACCUGACUAAGAAGCCCCGGCUAACUACGUGCCAGCAGCCGCGGU